CGAACGGGUGAGUAAUACAUCGGAACGUGCCCAGUCGUGGGGGGAGUAACUACUCGAAAGAGUAGCUAAUACCGCAUACGAUCUGAGGAUGAAAGCGGGGGACCUUCGGGCCUCGCGCGAUUGGAGCGGCCGAUGGCAGAUUAGGUAGUUGGUGGGAUAAAAGCUUACCAAGCCGACGAUCUGUAGCUGGUCUGAGAGGACGACCAGCCACACUGGGACUGAGACACGGCCCAGACUCCUACGGGAGGCAGCAGUU
Molecule: ribosomal RNA, 256 nt
Filed under: uncultured Delftia sp.
Lineage: Bacteria; Pseudomonadati; Pseudomonadota; Betaproteobacteria; Burkholderiales; Comamonadaceae
Description: partial 16S ribosomal RNA
Rfam family: Bacterial small subunit ribosomal RNA
Source: RNAcentral